GCUAACUUGAGGCCAAGGGCGGCGUUAAUACGCAUGUUGCCAGCGUUAAUAGGAGUUACUGGUCGUAAAGCGCGCGUAGGUGUGUCAGCAAGUUGGAGGUGAAAGUCCCGGGCUCAACCUGGGAACUGCCGCCAAAACGACUGAGCUAGGGUACGGUAGAGGGUAGUGGAAUUUCCUGUGUAGCGGUGAAAUGCGUAGAUAUAGGAAGGAACACCAGUGGCGAAGGCGACUACCUGGACUGAUACUGACACUGAGGUGCGAAAGCGUGGGGAGCAAACAGGAUUAGAUACCCUUGUAGUG
Molecule: ribosomal RNA, 300 nt
Filed under: uncultured Rhizobium sp.
Lineage: Bacteria; Pseudomonadati; Pseudomonadota; Alphaproteobacteria; Hyphomicrobiales; Rhizobiaceae
Description: bacterial SSU rRNA
Rfam family: Bacterial small subunit ribosomal RNA
Source: RNAcentral